AACGAACGCUGGCGGCAUGCCUAACACAUGCAAGUCGAACGAGACCUUCGGGUCUAGUGGCGCACGGGUGCGUAACGCGUGGGAAUCUGCCCUUGGGUUCGGAAUAACAGUUAGAAAUGACUGCUAAUACCGGAUAAUGUCUUCGGACCAAAGAUUUAUCGCCCAGGGAUGAGCCCGCGUAGGAUUAGCUAGUUGGUGAGGUAAAGGCUCACCAAGGCGACGAUCCUUAGCUGGUCUGAGAGGAUGAUCAGCCACACUGGGACUGAGACACGGCCCAGACUCCUACGGGAGGCAGCAGUGGGGAAUAUUGGACAAUGGGCGAAAGCCUGAUCCAGCAAUGCCGCGUGAGUGAUGAAGGCCCUAGGGUUGUAAAGCUCUUUUACCAGGGAUGAUAAUGACAGUACCUGGAGAAUAAGCUCCGGCUAACUCCGUGCCAGCAGCCGCGGUAAU
This 450-nucleotide ribosomal RNA is filed under the name uncultured bacterium. RNAcentral describes it as "bacterial SSU rRNA". It matches the Rfam family "Bacterial small subunit ribosomal RNA", at positions 29 to 524 of the family's 1533-position model. The record is from RNAcentral.